GCUCAGAACGAACGCUGGCGGCAUGCCUAACACAUGCAAGUCGAACGAGAUCUUCGGAUCUAGUGGCGCACGGGUGCGUAACGCGUGGGAAUCUGCCCUUGGGUACGGAGUAACUCAGAGAAAUUUGUGCUAAUACCGUAUAAUGUCUUCGGACCAAAGAUUUAUCGCCCAAGGAUGAGCCCGCGUAGGAUUAGCUAGUUGGUGAGGUAAAAGCUCACCAAGGCGACGAUCCUUAGCUGGUCUGAGAGGAUGAUCAGCCACACUGGGACUGAGACACGGCCCAGACUCCUACGGGAGGCAGCAGUGGGGAAUAUUGGACAAUGGGCGAAAGCCUGAUCCAGCAAUGCCGC
Molecule: ribosomal RNA, 350 nt
Filed under: Sphingomonas sp. Incheon 8
Lineage: Bacteria; Pseudomonadati; Pseudomonadota; Alphaproteobacteria; Sphingomonadales; Sphingomonadaceae
Description: bacterial SSU rRNA
Rfam family: Bacterial small subunit ribosomal RNA
Source: RNAcentral